CGGGUAGCGGAACACGUACGCAACCUUCCUUUAACUGGAGAAUAGCCCCUCGAAAGAGGGAUUAAUACUCCGUAACAUCCCGAUGUGGCAUCACAACGGGAUUAUAGCUCCGGCGGUUAAAGAUGGGCGUGCGCCUGAUUAGAUAGUUGGCGGGGUAACGGCCCACCAAGUCUGCGAUCAGUAACUGGUGUGAGAGCACGACCAGUCACACGGGCACUGAGACACGGGCCCG
RNAcentral lists this ribosomal RNA (232 nucleotides) under uncultured bacterium. RNAcentral's name for it is "partial 16S ribosomal RNA". It matches the Rfam family "Bacterial small subunit ribosomal RNA", at positions 103 to 334 of the family's 1533-position model. The record is from RNAcentral.